GUGUCAGCAGCCGCGGUAAAACGUAGGAGACGAGCGUUAUCCGGAUUUACUGGGCGUAAAGCGCGUGCAGGCGGUUUAUUAAGUCACUUGUGAAAGCGCCCGGCUCAACUGGGCGAGGCCGUGUGAGACUGAUAGACUUGAGAGAGGUAGAGGCGAAUGGAAUUCCGGGUGGAGUGGUGAAAUGCGUAGAGAUCCGGAGGAACACCAGUGGCGAAGGCGAUUCGCUGGGCCUUCUCUGACGCUCAGACGCGACAGCAUGGGGAGCGAACGGGAUUAGAAACCCCUGUAGUCC
This 292-nucleotide ribosomal RNA is filed under the name uncultured bacterium. RNAcentral's name for it is "partial 16S ribosomal RNA". It matches the Rfam family "Bacterial small subunit ribosomal RNA", at positions 505 to 796 of the family's 1533-position model. The record is from RNAcentral.